CCCCACUGCUAUCGAGGUGAGACUUAGCCAGGCCAGUCGAACGACUCGGACUAUGGCGAGAAGUGGCAAACUGCUCAGUAACACGUAGCUAACCUACCCUCAGGACGGAGACAACCCCGGGAAACUGGGGUUAAUCCCCGAUAGGCGUGAAUUCCUGGAAUGGUGUCACGCCGAAACGUUAACACACCAUGUUUGUGUACACGCCUGAGGAUGGGGCUGCGGCCGAUCAGGCAGUUGGUGAGGUAACGGCUCACCAAACCUUUGACCGGUACGGGCCGUGAGAGCGGUAGCCCGGAGAUGGACACUGAGACAAGGGUCCAGGACCUACGGGUCGCAGCCGGUACGAAACCUCCACAAUGCACGCAAGUGCGAUGGGGUUACCUCGAGUGCCGCCUGAAGAAGGCGGCUUUUCCAUUGUGUAAUGAGCCGUGGGAAUAAGGGGGGGGCAAGACUGGUGUCAGCCGCCGCGGUAACACCAGCCCCCCGAGUGGUGGGGAUGUUUAUUUGGCCUAAAACGUCCGUAGCCAGCUAGGUAAAUCUCUCGUUAAAUCCAGCGUCCUAAGCGUUGGGCUGCGAGAGAGACUGCCAAGCUAGAGGGUGGGAGAGGUCAGCGGUAUUUCUGGGGUAGGGGCGAAAUCCAUUGAUCCCAGGAGGACCACCAGUGGCGAAGGCUGCUGACUAGAACACGCCUGACGGUGAGGGACGAAAGCUGGGGUAGCGAAUCGGAUUAGAUACCCGAGUAGUCCCAGCCGUAAACGAUGCAGGCUAGGUGUUGGGUUGGCCAUGUGCCGACUCAGUGCCACAGGGAAGCCAUUAAGCCUGCUGCCUGGGGAGUACGGUCGCAAGGCUGAAACU
This 855-nucleotide ribosomal RNA is filed under the name uncultured archaeon. RNAcentral describes it as "bacterial SSU rRNA". It matches the Rfam family "Archaeal small subunit ribosomal RNA", at positions 21 to 856 of the family's 1478-position model. The record is from RNAcentral.